RNAcentral lists this ribosomal RNA (253 nucleotides) under uncultured bacterium. RNAcentral describes it as "partial 16S ribosomal RNA". It matches the Rfam family "Bacterial small subunit ribosomal RNA", at positions 524 to 776 of the family's 1533-position model. The record is from RNAcentral.
UACGAAGGGGGCUAGCGUUGUUCGGAAUCACUGGGCGUAAAGCGCACGUAGGCGGGUUCUUAAGUCAGGGGUGAAAUCCCAGAGCUCAACUCUGGAAUUGCCUUUGAGACUGAGUGGCUUGAGUACGAGAGAGGUGAGUGGAAUUCCCAGUGUAGAGGUGAAAUUCGUAGAUAUUGGGAAGAACACCGGUGGCGAAGGCGGCUCACUGGCUCGUAACUGACGCUCAUGCACGACAGCGUGGGGAUCAAACAGG